RNAcentral lists this ribosomal RNA (255 nucleotides) under uncultured bacterium. RNAcentral's name for it is "partial 16S ribosomal RNA". It matches the Rfam family "Bacterial small subunit ribosomal RNA", at positions 524 to 776 of the family's 1533-position model. The record is from RNAcentral.
UACAUAGGGUGCAAGCGUUAUUCGGAAUAACUGGGCGUAAAGGGCGUGUAGGUGGCUUCAGAAGUCUGGCGUUAAAUCUCUUGGCUCAACCAAGAGCUCGCGUUGGAAACCAUGGAGCUUGAGUCCUGCAGGGGUAAGCGGAAUUCCCCGGUGUGAGCAGUGAAAUGCGUUGAUAUCGGGAGGAACACCUAUGGCGAAGGCAGCUUACUAGGCAGGUACUGACACUGAGGCGCGAAAGCGUGGGUAGCGAACAGG